UGGGGACAGGUGACAAUUCAACCUCAUUUGGCUCUGCAGGAAAAACUAUGACAGGAUAUCUAAAUCUCAGGAGGACAGUUGGUGUCAACCAUGGCCACUAUGGAGGGUCGAAGCAUGAAGAGUUCCAUGCCCUGGCCCGCAUCUGAGAGAAUGUACAGCCACCUGGCCUUCUACAGCACUGGCCCUGUCUGCAAGGUCUUUCCCCUGUCUCUUAGAGAAUCUGCUCCCAGCUCUCAGACAAGGUGAUGACCUGUGGAGAAUGGAACCUGAAAUGAGUCUCUCAUGGCCUUACGGAAUUCUGCUUUCAAGGGAAGCCCUUGCGCAAGACUCACUCCACCUCAUCUGUGUCCAGUGCUCCACUAAUUUCCAUGGUGCAGAUCUCAGCCCUGGAGGUUCAUCUUCCUAAGGAAUGCUGGGACUUCCUGGUCCUCUCUCCUGGUGCAUGGUCCAUUCUUCUUGUUCUUUACAGGCAUGCUUUUCAAGAUACCCAACUUUGCAUGGCACUGCUUGUCAGAAGCCAGAGCCUAGGGCCAACCCCGGGUCCCAUAUAGCAUGUACCCGGCGAAACAGUCACUAUCAGGAGGGACCUUGGGCGAAGGGGGCCUGCUGGCUGAUGCAGCAUCCUGACCUGUGAGGAGUUCCAGGGGUCUAGAGCUGGGACAACAGUCUUCUCUGAAUACUACUCUCAUGAAGAAGAGAGAAGACUGAUUAAAUUAAAAUACGAAAGAGAGGGUCUCCCUGGAGCAUCUAGGGAAACCCUAAUUCUUGGCAGCUGUGGGGUAGUUGGGUAGGAGGAGUGUGAAAGGCUGGGUUGGAGGACAAGGCUAUAUAGGUAUUGUGGAAUCCUCAGCUCCUGCCUGCUGUGGUCUGCAGUUGGGAGGUGUGGGAGCUGCAGGCUCCUGUGAGUAUAACAGCCCCAUAGAAGUGACCAUUCUCAUCUCACUUGAUGACCAUGUAAUGGUCUCAAGAAGGAUAAGAGUCUAACCAGAUAAUGUUGAUCUCACAGAACCUGCUUCUGUGGCCUCUCAGUGUGAUAUUACUGAAAGGCAGGGAGGAACAGACCCCCAUGCAGCCAGCUGGGGAGGUGCAGAACCCUUUGAGGGAGGCAUUACGGUCUGGACAUGAAGUGUCAGACUUGUUCCUCAGCUGGUGGAGCAAAUCAUUGAGGGUUACCAGCUAGUUCCUGAGGGCUCUGACCAAAUCGGUUAGUCACUGAUGGGUUCCUAUUAAUGGCAUUACUGGCAGGUGAUGGAAACUUCCAGCAGCAGAGCCUCCGUGAAAUAAGUGGGCCAUUGGGAAUAUGGUCUCAGUAGCUAAACCUUUACCCAGAUCCCUCUUUGCACAGCUGUGAAAUUCUCUCUCCCCCACAAGGCCACAGCAAUGGACCAGAACUUCAUCUGGGAGCCCAAAUGAGUCUCUCCUCCUCUGACAUGUUUAUCUCAGGCAUUUGUAGCAGCAAUGAAAAAUCUAGUGUAGGAGGCAAGUUGUUUUGUUUGUCUUGGGGUGUGUGUGUGUGUAUGCAUGCAUAUGUGAUCAUGUUUAAUGGCUAAUUGUUAGAAAAUAGAUAUAAGCCUGUCAGCACACUCCUUUAAUCCUACCACUUGGGAGGCAGA
Long non-coding RNA from Mus caroli (Ryukyu mouse), 1613 nucleotides. RefSeq lists it as uncharacterized. NCBI's taxonomy places the organism in Eukaryota, Metazoa, Chordata, Mammalia, Rodentia, Muridae. The record is from RefSeq and is a predicted model, not a curated record.